UAAUGACUUUUCACCGUAAUGAGAUUUUAUGAAGAAAAUAAUAAUGUUCGCAUUGAUAUUAUUGGCCCUAAUACCUCCUGCACAUCAACAUUAUUUACUGGACGAUCUGCCAUAUUUGGAAGACCAGAACUGUGGCGAGUGCGAGCGCUUGUACGCACCGGUAUGUGGAACUGACAAUAGAACGUACAUAAAUAUUUGUAAAAUGAACUGCUACGCAUUUUUAGCACCACCUGAAGCUAGACCUAAAAUUUUCAUGUACGGACCUUGCGUAUUAUCUGGACGAAGAACCGAUAUAAUAGGCUACAAUGAAACUUUUCCUAUGAACGAAACUGAAAUAUCUAUACAAAAAUUCGAGGACAAAAAUGAUAGUAUGUCCUUCACUCCGAUUGAUCCUUCAAGAAAAACUAAACCGACUGAAAGAACAUUGAAGAAAUUCACAAAACCUGUAGAUUUUGAUGAAUAUUGAAGACUUUAAAUAUUAAGGUGUACAUUAAUGUUAUAGGUAUAGAUAAAUAUUUAUAAAAACUACAGGGGAAAAUAUUAUUUCAUGGAUUAGUCGACAAAAAUUAUACGAUACACUGGCUUAAGUGGC
Ostrinia nubilalis (European corn borer) is the source of this 592-nucleotide long non-coding RNA. RefSeq lists it as uncharacterized. NCBI's taxonomy places the organism in Eukaryota, Metazoa, Arthropoda, Insecta, Lepidoptera, Crambidae. The record is from RefSeq and is a predicted model, not a curated record. The transcript is spliced from 3 exons.